Molecule: ribosomal RNA, 796 nt
Filed under: uncultured bacterium
Lineage: Bacteria
Description: bacterial SSU rRNA
Rfam family: Bacterial small subunit ribosomal RNA
Source: RNAcentral
AGAGUUUGAUCAUGGCUCAGGAUGNNNNCUAGCGGCAGGCUUAAUACAUGCAAGUCGAGGGGCAGCACAGGUAGCAAUACUGGGUGGCGACCGGCAAACGGGUGCGGAACACGUACGCAACCUUCCCAAAACAGGUGAAUAGCCCUCCGAAAGAGGAUUAAUACACCGUAACAUAAUUAAGUGGCAUCACUUGAUUAUUAUAGAUAGCAAUAUCGGUUUUGGAUGGGCGUGCGCCUGAUUAGGUAGUUGGUAGGGUAACGGCCUACCAAGCCUUCGAUCAGUAACUGGUGUGAGAGCACGACCAGUCACACGGGCACUGAGACACGGGCCCGACUCCUACGGGAGGCAGCAGUAAGGAAUAUUGGUCAAUGGACGCAAGUCUGAACCAGCCAUGCCGCGUGAAGGAUGAAGGCCCUCUGGGUUGUAAACUUCUUUUAUCUGGGACGAAAAAAGGGGAUUCUUCCUCACUUGACGGUACCAGAGGAAUAAGCACCGGCUAACUCCGUGCCAGCAGCCGCGGUAAUACGGAGGGUGCAAGCGUUAUCCGGAUUUACUGGGUUUAAAGGGUGCGUAGGUGGGUAGGAAAGUCAGUGGUGAAAUCUUCGGGCUUAACCCGGAAACUGCCAUUGAUACUAUUUAUCUUGAAUACUUUGGAGGUAAGCGGAAUAUGUCAUGUAGCGGUGAAAUGCUUAGAUAUGACAUAGAACACCAAUUGCGAAGGCAGCUUACUACACAGUUAUUGACACUGAGGCACGAAAGCGUGGGGAUCAAACAGGAUUAGAUACCCUAGUAGUCC